ACCCAAUAGAUACCCAGGUAGUCCACGCCCUAAACGAUGCAUAUUUGGUGUGGGCAGUUCAUUCUGUCCGUGCCGGAGCUAACGCGUUAAAUAUGCCGCCUGGGGAGUACAGUCGCAAGGCUGAAACUCAAAGGAAUUGACGGGGGCCCGCACAAGCGGUGGAGCAUGUGGUUCAAUUCGACGCAACGCGAAGAACCUUACCUGGGCUCGAACGGCUGGUCAACGGCGGUGGAAACAUCGCUACCCCGCAAGGGGGUCCGAGUCGAGGUGCUGCAUGGCUGUCGUCAGCUCGUGUCGUGAGAUGUUGGGUUAAGUCCCGCAACGAGCGCAACCCUUGUCCUGUGUUGCCAUACCGAAAGGUGGAACUCGCAGGAGACCGCCAGGGAUAACCUGGAGGAAGGUGGGGAUGACGUCAAGUCCUCAUGGCCUUUAUGUCCAGGGCUACACACGUGCUACAAUGGACGGUACAAAGCGCAGCGAACUCGCGAGAGGGGAGCCAAUCGCAAAAAACCGGUUCUCAGUUCGGAUUGCAGGCU
Molecule: ribosomal RNA, 536 nt
Filed under: uncultured bacterium
Lineage: Bacteria
Description: bacterial SSU rRNA
Rfam family: Bacterial small subunit ribosomal RNA
Source: RNAcentral